GGACAAGACUCUCGGCAAUGGAUAUCUCAGCUCUCGCAUUAAUGAAGAGCACAGUGAAAUGUGAUACAUGGUGUGAAUUGCAGAAUCCUGCGAACCAUCGAGUCUUUGAAUGCAAGUUACGCCCGAGGCCAGCCGGCCGAGGGCACAUCCACCUGGGCGUCAACUGUCGCAUCGCUCCGUGCCAACUCUGUCCCAACUCUGUCCCCCCGAUGGGUGCAUGAUGGUCAAG
Molecule: ribosomal RNA, 229 nt
Filed under: Cymbidium lancifolium
Lineage: Eukaryota; Viridiplantae; Streptophyta; Magnoliopsida; Asparagales; Orchidaceae
Description: 5.8S ribosomal RNA
Rfam family: 5.8S ribosomal RNA (bases 7-162)
About the family: 5.8S ribosomal RNA (5.8S rRNA) is a component of the large subunit of the eukaryotic ribosome. It is transcribed by RNA polymerase I as part of the 45S precursor that also contains 18S and 28S rRNA.
Source: RNAcentral